Rana temporaria (common frog) is the source of this 763-nucleotide long non-coding RNA. RefSeq lists it as uncharacterized. Lineage: Eukaryota; Metazoa; Chordata; Amphibia; Anura; Ranidae. The record is from RefSeq and is a predicted model, not a curated record. The transcript is spliced from 3 exons.
AUAUUUGCCCUUUAAUAUAGGCUGUGCUAUCUCUAUUCUAUCCACAUGAUGGCAAGCUAGAGACAACCUUACUACCCCUAAUAUCUAUACAUACGGUUUUCUUCUUCCUUUAUAUUUAUCUAUAUGAUCUCCUUUUCCAAAUAAAUCCCUUGUUUUUUAUUAUCCAUGGUUCCCCUUUUUACUAAAUGCCCUAAUUUCCUUAUGUGCGCCCUUUCUGAACCUCACGCUUGGCCGUUGUUUGCGGUUGUGCUGUAAUAUUGGUUCCGCUGUUACAUCGAGAAUUGCGACCUGUUUAUGCGCCGCUGUAAUGAAUGGGCGCGCGUCAAUGACGUCACACGUUUGACGCUGACGCAAGGAAAGGCCCUAUUUAAGGGAGGAACACACGCACCUGCCUUGUGUUGCCUCGUGUACACCCUGGGACACAGAGACCCUUACCUUUCGCCGCUCCACGGCCUCCUGUUUUAAAUACAGCGCAUGUUCACCAGCGGUACUUUUGACCUGAACAUUUGGCUUCAUAGGCUAUACAUGCCGCCCACGAUCUGUUGUCCCAGCAAACCUAAGAUCAUUUUAAUUAGUCUUUUUUGAGCUGUGCAGUGUGUCAGGGAUUAUCUAGCCCUGCAACCCAUGGAUCUUUCGUUUUGACCUCUAUUGGCUUACCAAAGGUGAUUCCCUGUUAUCAAAUACACGCUAUAUUUACAUUAUUACGGACAUUUCUACUCUUGUCCUUUCCUUCUCAGGUCUAUUGCGCAUUUUCUCUUCUAUA